GUGAACCGCCGGAUGGAUCAUUA
RNAcentral lists this ribosomal RNA (23 nucleotides) under Phlebiopsis gigantea. Its description in RNAcentral is "partial 17S ribosomal RNA". The record is from RNAcentral. Lineage: Eukaryota; Fungi; Basidiomycota; Agaricomycetes; Polyporales; Phanerochaetaceae.